AGUGAACGCUGGCGGUAGGCCUAACACAUGCAAGUCGAACGGCAGCACAGUAAGAGCUUGCUCUUACGGGUGGCGAGUGGCGGACGGGUGAGGAAUACAUCGGAAUCUACUUUUUCGUGGGGGAUAACGUAGGGAAACUUACGCUAAUACCGCAUACGACCUACGGGUGAAAGCAGGGGAUCUUCGGACCUUGCGCGAUUGAAUGAGCCGAUGUCGGAUUAGCUAGUUGGCGGGGUAAAGGCGCACCAAGGCGACGAUCCGUAGCUGGUCUGAGAGGAUGAUCAGCCACACUGGAACUGAGACACGGUCCAGACUCCUACGGGAGGCAGCAGUGGGGAAUAUUGGACAAUGGGCGCAAGCCUGAUCCAGCCAUGCCGCGUGGGUGAAGAAGGCCUUCGGGUUGUAAAGCACUUUUGUUGGGAAAGAAAAGCAGCAGGUUAAUACCCCGCUGUUCUGACGUUACCCACAGAAUAAGCACCGGCUAACUUCGUG
This 492-nucleotide ribosomal RNA is filed under the name uncultured bacterium. Its description in RNAcentral is "partial 16S ribosomal RNA". It matches the Rfam family "Bacterial small subunit ribosomal RNA", at positions 29 to 507 of the family's 1533-position model. The record is from RNAcentral.